UAUAUGAAAAAAUAGCAUGUUAUUUGAGAGAGAUUUUCAAUUAUAACGUGUAAUUCGAGAAAGUAGCAUGGUAAAAAAGAAAAUAACAUACAAUGUAAAAAGAAAACAUAACGACGGAGAUUCCAAGAAAGAAUCAAAAUCGAACAAAAUAAAAUGAGAAAUCUUCUGCAAAUUGAAGGAGAGAUGAUCCGUCAAUAUAAAUAACGUUUAGCAGCCUAGAUUUAUCGAAAAAGAGACUGAUGGUUGUGAUGGUGGAAGAUGUGGUGGUUGUGGUGGUGGAAGAAAGAGAGAUGAGUGGUGGUUUGUUCGGAUUCAUCAAAAGUUUUUCGCCAUGGAAUCAUCUAAGUGUUUUGUGUGAUUUUGUAAAAUAGCGUGUAAUACAUAUAAAAUUCGAUAAUGGGUAUAAAAAUAAUUACAAGUGAUGAAAGAGAGUGUCCUCUGAUACCAUAGCUACUUUGUUAAUUU
Molecule: small RNA, 465 nt
Filed under: Arabidopsis thaliana (thale cress)
Lineage: Eukaryota; Viridiplantae; Streptophyta; Magnoliopsida; Brassicales; Brassicaceae
Description: ATSL013100
Source: RNAcentral